This 211-nucleotide long non-coding RNA is filed under the name Brassica napus (rape). RNAcentral's name for it is "long non-coding RNA (BNAP_LNC022498)". Lineage: Eukaryota; Viridiplantae; Streptophyta; Magnoliopsida; Brassicales; Brassicaceae. The record is from RNAcentral.
UAUCUAUAUACAACAUAAAAUAAUUAAUAGAAAAAAAUUUAUCGAAAUCAAUAUAAUGAUUUCAUAUUUUUUAAUAUAAAACAUUAUAUUCGCAUAGUAUUAUAAUAAGUAUUAAUCAAUGUCUUAAAAUGUCCAUAUAUGUCUUAUAAGUCAUUUAUAAAAAAAUUAAAACAUUUAUAAAAUUAUUUAUCAUGGCUUACAAAAUUAUUUU